GCAGGUACCGUCCCUUCGGAGAAGAGAACCUCCCCGACACUCGUCCCUACUGACAGUGCUUUACACCCCGAAGGGCUUCGUCACACACGCGGCGUCGCUCCAUCAGACUUUCGUCCAUUGUGGAAGCCUCUAG
This 133-nucleotide ribosomal RNA is filed under the name uncultured bacterium. Its description in RNAcentral is "partial 16S ribosomal RNA". The record is from RNAcentral.